RNAcentral lists this ribosomal RNA (468 nucleotides) under uncultured bacterium. RNAcentral describes it as "partial 16S ribosomal RNA". It matches the Rfam family "Bacterial small subunit ribosomal RNA", at positions 28 to 507 of the family's 1533-position model. The record is from RNAcentral.
GACGAACGCUGGCGGCGUGCUUAACACAUGCAAGUCGAACGGAAAGGCCCUGCUUUUGUGGGGUGCUCGAGUGGCGAACGGGUGAGUAACACGUGAGUAACCUGCCAUUGACUUUGGGAUAACUUCAGGAAACUGGGGCUAAUACCGGAUAGGAGCUCCUGCUGCAUGGUGGGGGUUGGAAAGUUUCGGCGGUUGGGGAUGGACUGGCGGCUUAUCAGCUUGUUGGUGGGGUAGUGGCUUACCAAGGCUUUGACGGGUAGCCGGCCUGCGAGGGUGACCGGCCACAUUGGGACGGAGAUACGGCCCAGACUCCUACGGGAGGCAGCAGUGGGGAAUAUUGCACAAUGGGCGGAAGCCUGAUGCAGCAACGCCGCGUGCGGGAUGACGGCCUUCGGGUUGUAAACCGCUUUCGCCUGUGACGAAGCGUGAGUGACGGUAAUGGGUAAAGAAGCACCGGCUAACUACGUG